CCUGCGGAACUGCUGGCCCCUUAUACCGGUGAUAUCGCCGCUGAAGGAAUCAGCAAAGCCAUGCGCGGAGGCGCAAAGUUCCUGCAUCACGGCAUUAAGCGCCAGCAACGUUAUGUGGCGGAAGCCAUUACUGAAGAGUGGCGUAUGGCACCCGGUCCGCUUGAAGUGGCCUGGUUUGCGGAAGAGACGGCUGCCGUCGAGCGUGCUGUUGAUGCCCUGACCAAACGGCUGGAAAAACUGGAGGCUAAAUGA
Non-coding RNA from Trichuris trichiura (human whipworm), 252 nucleotides. NCBI's taxonomy places the organism in Eukaryota, Metazoa, Nematoda, Enoplea, Trichinellida, Trichuridae. The record is from Rfam.